This 82-nucleotide microRNA precursor is filed under the name Podarcis lilfordi (Lilford's wall lizard). The record is from RNAcentral. Lineage: Eukaryota; Metazoa; Chordata; Lepidosauria; Squamata; Lacertidae.
CCUUCUCUCUCUCUCUCUCUCUCUCCUCUCUCCCUGUCCGAGAGAGAGAGAGAGAGAGAGAGAGAGAGAGAGAGAGAGAGAU